RNAcentral lists this ribosomal RNA (253 nucleotides) under uncultured bacterium. Its description in RNAcentral is "partial 16S ribosomal RNA". It matches the Rfam family "Bacterial small subunit ribosomal RNA", at positions 524 to 776 of the family's 1533-position model. The record is from RNAcentral.
UACGAAGGGGGCUAGCGUUGUUCGGAAUUACUGGGCGUAAAGCGCGCGUAGGCGGUUUUUUAAGUCUGUGGUGAAAGCCCGGAGCUCAACUCCGGAAUUGCCAUUGAAACUGUUGAACUUGAGGACGAGAGAGGUGAGUGGAAUUCCCAGUGUAGAGGUGAAAUUCGUAGAUAUUGGGAAGAACACCGGUGGCGAAGGCGGCUCGCUGGCUCGUUUCUGACGCUCAGGCGCGACAGCGUGGGGAUCAAACAGG